GUUGGAAUCUGUUUAAUUUUCUUGAAACUUUAAGGUGGCAUUUUGUGGUAUGUUUCAAAGCCUUGUAAGUUUUCAACUACUGUAUCUUGUUCUCCUAACAUAUUAUCGUACUGCGAGAUUUCUGGACUGACAAUCUAUGAGCUGCAAUUUCCAUCAUCUACUGUAUCUUGUUCUCGGAAGAGACAUACGUGAUUCAGGUUCCUUAAUAUCAACAUAAAAAUCUAACUUCUACAGAGUUUUCUUUGGCUAAAAGUCGAAGCAUGAGACUACUACUAAUAGGUAUAUUUCGGUGAUACAAUACUCUGGAUGCUGGGCCAAACCAUCUAAGCUGCGGGGAGCUGUUAGAAAGUUCCUGGAGGUAUGUUUUCUGAUAGGAGGUUUUCAUAUUUCUGUACUCUGUCCACAAUUUCAAAUUGUUAACUGUGCUUUCAUCUGUUGUUGGACUCGAAUGUGAACACUAAGAAGGGGGAAUCGAUUUUUGAGAUUAUGUGUUGGAUGUUUGAUGGCAGUUUGGAUACAUCACUAUCUAUAACUGAUUCAAAAACAUGGUUCUCCCUUGAACAUCCAACAGUAUGCACUCGUAGGAAAAUACACGUUCAUCAGAAAAAAGAUUUUAGUACUUGUUUUUCUUUCUUGCUUACCGUUGCUAUCUGAUGAUUUCGUUUUUUGAUGUGGAAAGCGGAGAUCCUCAAAGCUACCUUAUCUAGUUUGGCCAAAUCAAAGAUUGUGAAAGCUCUAGCUGUUGUUUAUCAGAUCCUGCUGGAUUUGCAAUACUAUUUGAAGCUUGCUUCCCAGUUCUCAAGCAGGAAUGGAGUAUAUACGAGUUAACGAGUUAUAACCUUCCAGAGGAGGAGUUUACUGUGGAGAAGCUUGUUGUUGCAGCGAUAUUUUGGUCCGGCUUAAUUGGUUUGCAUUUUUUGGAAGUAACUGCGGUCAUUUGUUUCGGCGGUCCAGCUGAAUAACACGGUCAGUUGCUGCUUCAUAUUUGAUCAAUGAUGUUCUUUUACAGAGUGCACGCUCAAGAUGACAGUGGAGAGUUGAUAUCUACUCUUCACGAGUUGUUUCUCUUCUUUGCAACAUCUCGACUGUCACACACAUUUUGCGGAGACAGUUCUAAUCACUUACGGAAAAAUCCAACAUCUCUGCAGUCAGCUUUUUGUCAAAUUUACUGAAGAAGGUUCUCAUUUUUUAUCAUGUCUGACGAUCGACGGAGUUACUUUUUUCUUCUUUGCAUUGAUUCGACGGCAUUAGUUGCUGAAGUUUUAGUUCUUAUGACUUUCUACCUAUGUUUAUAUUAUAUUUCCUAAACAGGUGCCGCUGCAAUAGAAGUUUGGGCUGGCUUCCUGCAUCAGGAUCAACUGUGCAACAAAUUCAGAAAAUUGGUAUGUUAAAUCAGUCAUAAAUCAGCUCCGCGACUCUGAGAUUAUCUUCAAGUUAUAUGUGGUAUUAGUUCAUCUCAUUUACUUUUACAAGUUCAAGAAAGUAUUUAAAUGUAUGUCGAUCUUUGAUCUUUUGCAGAGAGUAUAAGUUGUAUGUAAUCCAUGUUGGAAAAUAGAAUACUGUAAGAAUUUGUUGUUGGAUUCAAUGG
This is a long non-coding RNA of Papaver somniferum (opium poppy), 1588 nucleotides long. RefSeq lists it as uncharacterized. Lineage: Eukaryota; Viridiplantae; Streptophyta; Magnoliopsida; Ranunculales; Papaveraceae. The record is from RefSeq and is a predicted model, not a curated record. The transcript has 5 exons.